RNAcentral lists this ribosomal RNA (406 nucleotides) under uncultured bacterium. RNAcentral's name for it is "partial 16S ribosomal RNA". It matches the Rfam family "Bacterial small subunit ribosomal RNA", at positions 30 to 526 of the family's 1533-position model. The record is from RNAcentral.
AUUGAACGCUGGCGGCAGGCCUAACACAUGCAAGUCGAACGAGUGGCGGACGGGUGAGUAAUGUCUGGGAAACUGCCUGAUGGAGGGGGAUAACUACUGGAAACGGUAGCUAAUACCGCAUACCAUCGGAUGUGCCCAGAUGGGAUUAGCUAGUAGGUGGGGUAAAGGCUCACCUAGGCGACGAUCCCUAGCUGGUCUGAGAGGAUGACAAGCAAAACUGGGACUGAGACACGGCCCAGACUCCUACGGGAGGCAGCAGUGGGGAAUAUUGCACAAUGGGCGCAAGCCUGAUGCAGCCAUGCCGCGUGUAUGAAGAAGGCCUUCGGGUUGUAAAGUACUUUCAGCGGGGAGGCGGUACCCGCAGAAGAAGCACCGGCUAACUCCGUGCCAGCAGCCGCGGUAAUAC